GUUGUUCGGAUUCAUUGGGAGUAAAGGGUGCGUAGGUGGCGUCGUACGUCGGGUGUGAAAUUUCGGAGCUCAACUCCGAAACUGCAUUCGAUACUGCAGUGCUUGAGGACUGGAGAGGAGACUGGAAUUUACGGUGUAGCAGUGAAAUGCGUAGAGAUCGUAAGGAAGACCAGUGGCGAAGGCGGGUCUCUAGACAGUUCCUGACACUGAGGCACGAAGGCCAGGGGAGCAAACGGG
Molecule: ribosomal RNA, 237 nt
Filed under: uncultured bacterium
Lineage: Bacteria
Description: partial 16S ribosomal RNA
Rfam family: Bacterial small subunit ribosomal RNA
Source: RNAcentral